GUGGAUUAGAUACCCGGGUAGUCCACGCUGUAAACGAUGAGCACUAGGUGUCGCGGGUAUUGACCCCUGCGGUGCCGCCGCUAACGCAUUAAGUGCUCCGCCUGGGGACUACGGCCGCAAGGUUAAAACUCAAAGGAAUUGACGGGGGCCCGCACAAGCGGUGGAGCAUGUGGUUCAAUUCGACGCAACGCGAAGAACCUUACCUGGGCUAGACAACGAUGGACCGCCCCAGAGAUGGGGCUUUCCCUUCGGGGACCAUCGGUUCAGGUGCUGCAUGGUCGUCGUCAACU
This 290-nucleotide ribosomal RNA is filed under the name uncultured bacterium. RNAcentral describes it as "partial 16S ribosomal RNA". It matches the Rfam family "Bacterial small subunit ribosomal RNA", at positions 773 to 1060 of the family's 1533-position model. The record is from RNAcentral.